This 468-nucleotide ribosomal RNA is filed under the name uncultured bacterium. Its description in RNAcentral is "partial 16S ribosomal RNA". It matches the Rfam family "Bacterial small subunit ribosomal RNA", at positions 28 to 507 of the family's 1533-position model. The record is from RNAcentral.
GACGAACGCUGGCGGCGUGCUUAACACAUGCAAGUCGAACGGAAAGGCCCUGCCUUUGUGGGGUGCUCGAGUGGCGAACGGGUGAGUAACACGUGAGUAACCUGCCCUUGACUUUGGGAUAACUUCAGGAAACUGGGGCUAAUACCGGAUAGGAGCUCCUGCUGCCUGGUGGGGGUUGGAAAGUUUCGGCGGUUGGGGAUGGACUCGCGGCUUAUCAGCUUGUUGGUUGAGUAGUGGCUUACCAAGUCUUUGACGGGUAGCCGGCCUGAUAGGGUGACCGGCCACAUUGCAACUGAGAGACGACCCAGACUGCUAUGCGAGGCAGCAGGGGAGUAUUCUACACAAUGGGCGGAGGUCUAAUAAAACAACGCAACAUACCGGCUGACCGCCAUCCAGCUGUAAUCCCCUUUCUCCUGAGACGCUGCGUGAUUGACCGUAAUGGGUAAAGAAGCACCGGCUAACUACGUG